GAUGAGCGCUGGCGGCGUGCCUAAUACAUGCAAGUCGAGCGAACAGACGAGGAGCUUGCUCCUCUGACGUUAGCGGCGGACGGGUGAGUAACACGUGGAUAACCUACCUAUAAGACUGGGAUAACUUCGGGAAACCGGAGCUAAUACCGGAUAAUAUAUUGGACCGCAUGGUUCAAUAGUGAAAGACGGUUUUGCUGUCACUUAUAGAUGGAUCCGCGCCGCAUUAGCUAGUUGGUAAGGUAACGGCUUACCAAGGCGACGAUGCGUAGCCGACCUGAGAGGGUGAUCGGCCACACUGGAACUGAGACACGGUCCAGACUCCUACGGGAGGCAGCAGUAGGGAAUCUUCCGCAAUGGGCGAAAGCCUGACGGAGCAACGCCGCGUGAGUGAUGAAGGUCUUCGGAUCGUAAAACUCUGUUAUUAGGGAAGAACAAAUGUGUAAGUAACUAUGCACGUCUUGACGGUACCUAAUCAGAAAGCCACGGCUAACUACGUG
This 497-nucleotide ribosomal RNA is filed under the name uncultured bacterium. Its description in RNAcentral is "partial 16S ribosomal RNA". It matches the Rfam family "Bacterial small subunit ribosomal RNA", at positions 28 to 507 of the family's 1533-position model. The record is from RNAcentral.